This 1246-nucleotide long non-coding RNA is filed under the name Homo sapiens (human). RNAcentral's name for it is "novel transcript". Lineage: Eukaryota; Metazoa; Chordata; Mammalia; Primates; Hominidae. The record is from RNAcentral.
GAGGGCGGCCGCCAUUUUGAAACGAACAGACUCCAAAAGCACGCUCCACUGGGCCUGCCCCUGCGAUCUUAAAACAGAUGUCCGUGAAAUGUGACCCAUGAAUAGCAGUUAUCUGGAGAGAGAGCUCUGAAGCUGAUGAAACCAUUAGAGCCACUGAAGGCACCUGGUAAAUGCGAUGCGGGGAGUACAGAAGAGAGAAUCAGAAACACACCGGCACUCUCAUUCCCAUGAGGCCACUUACAAGAUUAAUCCCCAGAGGAAGCAGCUUGCCAGUGAAUGACAGCUUUUGUUUGCUCAUGUUUUCCUCUCCUCCCAGAGUCAACUUUCAGAAUAUACCAGGAUGUUCCCUCUCACUUGACUUUCUUUUCUUUUCUUUUCUUUUCUUUUUUUUUACUGGAGGAGAGGGGAGGCUCCACAGCAUAUUAUCCAAAGGCGAGGCAGAUGGUUCUUUGUCCAAUAGUGAGAGAGGGGAGAGAGGGGCCAUUGGUCUUCUCUUUUUGUGUUUUACGUUUUUACUUCUCAUGUUGAGAUGUUGUAACGGCACUUCAUACCUCCUCGGCCGCUGUUGUCUUCACAAUGCACAGAACAUGUUCCAUGUCAUGUCAUCUUGCUCUUCCCACACAACUCUUCUGUGGGGCAAUACUGGUUUUGGAAUUGCCAUUUUAGAAGUGAGCAAACAAGACUCAGAUCAAGUGACCCAGCUCAAGUCUCAUGGGCAGGAAGUGGACAAACCAAGGUCUGAACCAAACUCCAGCCUGAAUGAGAAGCACGUCCUCCUGGGAGUUACGUCAGCAGCCUGACCUUCCAUCUUCCUCCUCUAAAGAAGCGUCCCUGCCACCCUGAGCACGAAGCCCUCGGGUUCCUAAAGGCCGAGGCGCUUCUUCUCAUUUACUUCCCUUGAGGAAGAAAGACCAGCCCAUCCACCCUCAUUUCCCACCGAAGGGCAUCGCAAAUAAAGUUUGCCCACGCAACCAGGCCACCACCAUUAAUUUCUCUCUGCCCUGCUCUUACAUUCUCCUCAAGGUUUUCAGUCCCCUAGAGAGGCUCCCUUCCCUCUUUUCUUUCCUUCCUCCAGCCCCCCUUUUCACCUCCCUCCACCAUUGUUUGAGGUUAAGAAGCAUGCUACGGUGUUCUAUAAAUCACUUGGCAAGAGUAGACGACAAAAGCAAAAUAUAAUUCAGAUUAAAGUCAUCCUCCCGCUGAAAUGAUAGUUUCUUAAAUAAAUGGCGAUGCUGCCUAUCAAUCU